CGUAAACAAAGGGAAGCGAGCAUGUGAAUGUGAGCAAAUCCCAAAAAUAACGUCUCAGUUCGGAUUGUAGUCUGCAACUCGACUACAUGAAGCUGGAAUCGCUAGUAAUCGCGAAUCAGAAUGUCGCGGUGAAUACGUUCCCGGGUCUUGUACACACCGCCCGUCACACCAUGGGAGUCAGUAACGCCCGAAGCCGGUGACCCAACCAAACGGAGGGAGCCGUCGAAGGUGGGACCGAUAACUGGGGUGAAGUCGUAACAAGGUACC
This 267-nucleotide ribosomal RNA is filed under the name uncultured bacterium. Its description in RNAcentral is "partial 16S ribosomal RNA". It matches the Rfam family "Bacterial small subunit ribosomal RNA", at positions 1234 to 1500 of the family's 1533-position model. The record is from RNAcentral.